GACGAACGCUGGCGGCGUGCUUAACACAUGCAAGUCGAACGGUAAGGCCCUUCGGGGUACACGAGUGGCGAACGGGUGAGUAACACGUGGGUGAUCUGCCCUGCACUUCGGGAUAAGCCUGGGAAACUGGGUCUAAUACCGGAUAGGACCAUGGACUUCACGGUUUGUGGUGGAAAGCUUUUGCGGUGUGGGAUGGGCCCGCGGCCUAUCAGCUUGUUGGUGGGGUAAUGGCCUACCAAGGCGACGACGGGUAGCCGGCCUGAGAGGGUGUCCGGCCACACUGGGACUGAGAUACGGCCCAGACUCCUACGGGAGGCAGCAGUGGGGAAUAUUGCACAAUGGGCGCAAGCCUGAUGCAGCGACGCCGCGUGAGGGAUGACGGCCUCGGUUGUAA
This 394-nucleotide ribosomal RNA is filed under the name uncultured bacterium. RNAcentral's name for it is "bacterial SSU rRNA". It matches the Rfam family "Bacterial small subunit ribosomal RNA", at positions 28 to 428 of the family's 1533-position model. The record is from RNAcentral.